Molecule: ribosomal RNA, 492 nt
Filed under: uncultured bacterium
Lineage: Bacteria
Description: partial 16S ribosomal RNA
Rfam family: Bacterial small subunit ribosomal RNA
Source: RNAcentral
AGUGAACGCUGGCGGUAGGCCUAACACAUGCAAGUCGAACGGCAGCACAGUAAGAGCUUGCUCUUACGGGUGGCGAGUGGCGGACGGGUGAGGAAUACAUCGGAAUCUACUUUUUCGUGGGGGUUAACGUAGGGAAACUUACGCUAAUACCGCAUACGACCUACGGGUGAAAGCAGGGGAUCUUCGGACCUUGCGCGAUUGAAUGAGCCGAUGUCGGAUUAGCUAGUUGGCGGGGUAAUGGCCCACCAAGGCGACGAUCCGUAGCUGGUCUGAGAGGAGGAUCAGCCACACGGGAACUGAGACACGGUCCAGACUCCUACGGGAGGCAGCAGUGGGGAAUAUUGGACAAUGGGCGCAAGCCUGAUCCAGCCAUACCGCGUGGGUGAAGAAGGCCUUCGGGUUGUAAAGCCCUUUUGUUGGGAAAGAAAAGCAGCAGGUUAAUACCCCGCUGUUCUGACGGUACCCAAAGAAGAAGCACCGGCUAACUUCGUG